RNAcentral lists this ribosomal RNA (301 nucleotides) under uncultured bacterium. RNAcentral describes it as "partial 16S ribosomal RNA". It matches the Rfam family "Bacterial small subunit ribosomal RNA", at positions 509 to 807 of the family's 1533-position model. The record is from RNAcentral.
CAGCAGCCGCGGUAAAACGAAGGGGGCUAGCGUUGUUCGGAUUUACUGGGCGUAAAGCGCACGUAGGCGGACUUUUAAGUCAGGGGUGAAAUCCCGGGGCUCAACCCCGGAACUGCCUUUGAUACUGGAAGUCUUGAGUAUGGUAGAGGUGAGUGGAAUUCCGAGUGUAGAGGUGAAAUUCGUAGAUAUUCGGAGGAACACCAGUGGCGAAGGCGGCUCACUGGACCAUUACUGACGCUGAGGUGCGAAAGCGUGGGGAGCAAACAGGAUUAGAUACCCCAGUAGUCCCUGUCUCUUAUAC